CGAACGCGAAAGUUCCCGUUCGGGGAGCGAGUAGAGUGGCGAAAGGGUGAGUAAUGCUUGGAUGACCUGCCCUCGAGACGGGGACAACAGUUCGAAAGGACUGCUAAUACCCGAUAGUCCGGUUUAGAUGCGUCUAGAUCGGUAAAUGGUGCUUCCGCUCGAGGAGGGGUUCAAGUCCUAUCAGCUUGUUGGUGAGGUAACGGCUCACCAAGGCGAUGACGGGUAGCCGGACUGAGAGGUUGGCCGGCCACAUGGGAACUGAGACACUGUCCUGACUCCUACGGGAGGCUGCAGUCGAGAAUCUUCUGCAAUGGGCGAAAGCCUGACAGAGCGACGCCGCGUGGAGGAUGAAGGCCCUCGGGUCGUAAACUCCUGUCACAUGUUAUGAAACGCACAGGUCUACCUGUGCGCUGACAAAAGCAUGAGAGGAAGUCACGGCUAACUUCGUG
Molecule: ribosomal RNA, 449 nt
Filed under: uncultured bacterium
Lineage: Bacteria
Description: bacterial SSU rRNA
Rfam family: Bacterial small subunit ribosomal RNA
Source: RNAcentral